RNAcentral lists this ribosomal RNA (440 nucleotides) under uncultured bacterium. RNAcentral describes it as "partial 16S ribosomal RNA". It matches the Rfam family "Bacterial small subunit ribosomal RNA", at positions 338 to 795 of the family's 1533-position model. The record is from RNAcentral.
CCUACGGGAGGCAGCAGUGGGGAAUAUUGCACAAUGGGGGAAACCCUGAUGCAGCAACGCCGCGUGAGGGAAGAAGUUUUUCGUAUUGUAAACUCCUUUUAGUAGGGAAGAAAAUGACGGUAUCUGAGUAAUAAGCCCCGGCUAACUCCGUGCCAGCCGCCGCGGUAAUACGGAGGGGGCAAGCGUUACUCGGAUUUACUGGGCGUAAAGGGCGCGUAGGCGGGAGUGCAAGUCAGAUGUGAAAGCCGGUGGCUUAACCACAGGACUGCAUUGGAAACUGUAAGGCUAGAGUACGGGAGAGGUAGGUGGAAUUCCUGGUGUAGCGGUAAAAUGCGUAGAGAUUAAGAGGAACACCAAUGGCGAAGGCGACUUACUAGAAUGUAACUGACGUUGAGGCUCGAAAGCGUGGGGAGCAAACAGGAUUAGAUACCCCUGUAGUC